RNAcentral lists this ribosomal RNA (253 nucleotides) under uncultured bacterium. RNAcentral describes it as "partial 16S ribosomal RNA". It matches the Rfam family "Bacterial small subunit ribosomal RNA", at positions 524 to 776 of the family's 1533-position model. The record is from RNAcentral.
CACGUAGGGCGCAAGCGUUGUCCGGAAUUAUUGGGCGGAAAGAGCUCGUAGGCGGUCCGUCACGUCCGCUGUGAAAACCCAGGGCUCAACCCUGGGCUUGCAGUGGAUACGGGCAGACUAGAGGUAGGUAGGGGAGAAUGGAAUUCCCGGUGUAGCGGUGAAAUGCGCAGAUAUCGGGAGGAACACCGGUGGCGAAGGCGGUUCUCUGGGCCUUACCUGACGCUGAGGAGCGAAAGCGUGGGGAGCGAACAGG